RNAcentral lists this long non-coding RNA (510 nucleotides) under Marmota monax (woodchuck). Lineage: Eukaryota; Metazoa; Chordata; Mammalia; Rodentia; Sciuridae. The record is from RNAcentral.
GUGAGAGUGGGCCCGCAGGUGCGGUGGGCGCUGCCCUAAUCCAAGGUUCGGAGCGCUGGAGGGGCGCCCUUACAUCGUGGGCAGAAUUGGGUUUCCGCAGCCAGCAGGGCCCUGGAGGCGGAUCCUGGGAGAAGGAGCCGGACGGCGGCCAGGGGUCCUCUUCCUCCUCGACUCCUGCUUUGGAGUUGGUGGCCAAGCAGUAGCGCUUGAUCUGCUCGGGGUACAUCCAGCGGGGGGGAAUACUUGCGGGUUGAAGCGGCCCGAGGUGAUAUCACAGGUCUCAAGGAGGUCGGGCAGGGACUUCUGCUUCUAUGAGUUUCAAAUUGGGACCGCGUGCUCCCCGGCUCCUGCCAUGGGGUCAUGAAUUAGGACCGAGAGGGAACAGAAAAAAACAGAAUUUCUCCCAGCCAUCCGGCAGCCGAAGCAGCCUUUAGGAGGGCACCGUCUCCUUGAGCUACGUCGGUUUCCAAAGGUAACAGACGCUACUUCUCUUAGGCUACGGAAUAACAG